RNAcentral lists this long non-coding RNA (1058 nucleotides) under Numida meleagris (helmeted guineafowl). Its description in RNAcentral is "lncRNA (ENSNMEG00000022015.1)". Lineage: Eukaryota; Metazoa; Chordata; Aves; Galliformes; Numididae. The record is from RNAcentral.
CUGGCAUUUAAAAAAAAAAAUCACAUCUUUCUUUCGUAUAAAAAAGAUUAUGCGCUGCUACAUACCCUUUGCUCUUCACAUGUAAAAAAUAACUUGAACAAGCUCAGGCGAAAUCAUUUUCUGAAUGUGUAGAAUGCAGAACCCUAAACACAAAUAACAGCUUUAACUUGGCUUCUGCUUUUAAGCAAAGGUGUUCCUGCCUUGUUUUUCAGAAUUAGAGCCACCUGCUGUAAUGUAGAGGGAGCUACUGAGCAACAGCUGCUGGUAAAAAGGAGUAGAAAGAAGGUUAAAGUAAGCAUAGUUUUAAUUUCUUCUGUCUUGCAGUUGUUUGAUGCACUGCAGUCUUGGAGUUCACAGCCUCUGCGUAUUUGUCUUAAGUUUUCGUUUGUGUAUUUGUUUUUUGUUAUUUUUUUGUUUUGGUUUUAGCUAGUGAGAACUGUAGAAGUCUCAGUUAUAAGCUCCAAAACAGCAGUAUGGAUCAUGCAGGUCGGUGGUCUGUGCUCCAGCUGGUGAGUUUUUACUUCGUCCUUCACAAUGCUGUUAUUUUGUGCCUCCUUCUCUUCCUCUAACAUGAUAAGAGCCAUAUGGGAAGGAGAUUGUAUCUUGAUGAUCGGACCAAGUCUUUCAUCAUUCUCUAGCAUGCUUCCCUUACAACCAAGAUCCAGUGGUGCAUGGCCGGACCUUGACUGAGCACAAUAAUUAUGAAGAGUUAGCCUGGUGUGAGUUGAAGGUCAUGAAUAUUGCAUGCGGUGAUGAUAGCUUGUGCUUUAAUUUGGAAGUUACUGUUUGUCUUGUUGAUUGGUAAGAAUCAAAAUCUCACAAAUUGCAUAGAUCUUAGAAAAAGUGAAAAGUAUAACUUCAAAAAAAAAAAUCACUCCUUAUUUCUGAAGUGAUUCUUCUCUGAAUAAGUUAAACCCUGCUUGCUAUGAAAAAAAAAAUACACUUUAAACUGAGGAUGGUUAAGGAAUUUGAAUCUGCAGUUUCUAAAGAAGUUGGCUGAAGGAGGCCUCUGGCCUUGUAUGUUCAUUUUGAAUAAAUCUUGGAAAAUUAUUAUACCA